Molecule: long non-coding RNA, 525 nt
Organism: Dromaius novaehollandiae (emu)
Lineage: Eukaryota; Metazoa; Chordata; Aves; Casuariiformes; Dromaiidae
Exons: 2
Source: RefSeq, a predicted model, not a curated record
GCUAUACAUCCACCUUCGCCAUCCAGCACUUGAUUACCAGGACAUACACAGCCAGAGACACACUGCGUUCUGUACUGUAAGGACCAUGCAGAAAACAUAACUUGACAGAGUGCCCUGAUGGAAGAGUCCAUCUACAGCUGACUUGGACAAUUUGCAUCACUAUGACAAAAGAGAGCAAACUGAAAAGUGAGAACAUGGAAAGGGAGAAUUAAAGAACAUCUUAAGUGGUAUGUUACCCGGUUCUGGUUUUUCUCCAGUGCAGCUCAGCUUUCCAUGGAUGCAAGUGCUACAAGGAAACAGAAAGGAAUUAUAUUUGCUUCUCUUGUUAGGUUUCAGUUUGUUUCCUGAGGAAUUUGAACUAGUGAAAAAUCACCACAUGAUAAAACAGAGAAGCCAUGUCCUUUAGCAGAAUUGUUUGUGCUAUUUACAUGUAUUUUGUGUUAGAGCUGUCCAAAAUACAAAUAUGUUUUAUAUAAGGACAUGUUUGCUCAAUCCAUUUGCCUGAUUAAAAAUUGUCCUUUAGAA